This is a small nuclear RNA of Marmota marmota marmota (Alpine marmot), 99 nucleotides long. The record is from Ensembl. Lineage: Eukaryota; Metazoa; Chordata; Mammalia; Rodentia; Sciuridae.
GUGCUCACUUCAGCAGCACACAUGCUAAAAUUGGAACAAUACAGAGAAGAUUAGCAAGGCCUCUGUGCCACAUUAAUUCAUGAAGUAUUUCAUGUUUUU